UAGGGAAUCUUAGUCAAUGGGCGAAAGCCUGAACUAGCGACGCCGCGUGUGCGAUGAAGGCCUUCGGGUUGUAAAGCACUGUCGUACGGGACGAUAAUGACGGUACCGUACAAGAAAGGACCGGCCAACAUCGUGCCAGCAGCCGCGGUAAGACGAGGGGUCCUAGCGUUGUUCGGAAUUACUGGGCGUAAAGCGGGUGUAGGUGGAUUUUUAAGUCAGAUGUGAAAUCCCGGAGCUCAACUUCGGAAUUGCAUUUGAAACUGAAAAUCUUGAGUAUUGGAGAGGAUAGCAGAAUUCCUGGUGUAGUGGUGAAAUACGUAGAUAUCAGGAGGAAUAUCGGUGGCGAAGGCGGCUAUCUGGCCAAAUACUGACACUCAGACCCGAAAGCGUGGGGAGCAAACAGGAUUAGAUACCCUGGUAGUCCACGCUGUAAACGAUGGACACUUGGUGUUGGAGGUAUUGACCCCUUCAGUGCCGUAGCUAACGCAUUAAGUGCCCCGCCUGGGGAGUACGGCCGCAAGGUUG
RNAcentral lists this ribosomal RNA (525 nucleotides) under uncultured bacterium. RNAcentral describes it as "bacterial SSU rRNA". It matches the Rfam family "Bacterial small subunit ribosomal RNA", at positions 355 to 896 of the family's 1533-position model. The record is from RNAcentral.